UAUGACCAUACCAUAUUGAAACUCCAGUUCCCAUAUGAUCACCACAGUUAAGCAACAUUGGGCCUGGUCAAUACCUGAUGGCUGCUUGGGAAUACCAGCUACUGUAAG
This is a non-coding RNA of Acanthosepion pharaonis, 108 nucleotides long. Lineage: Eukaryota; Metazoa; Mollusca; Cephalopoda; Sepiida; Sepiidae. The record is from the annotation of a GenBank genome assembly.